This is a long non-coding RNA of Oncorhynchus tshawytscha (Chinook salmon), 2342 nucleotides long. NCBI's taxonomy places the organism in Eukaryota, Metazoa, Chordata, Actinopteri, Salmoniformes, Salmonidae. The record is from Ensembl.
GGAGGAGAUGGAUUUUGGCCGACAUUCUGCUAAUUUACUCAUCGAUGAAACAUUUGAUUUCAAAAUAGUUUUCUGUUCCCAAAACUACAAUCUGUUAGGAAUAGAGUGGACAAAGUUUUGUAGACUUUACCCUUUGCCAAAAAAAAAAAAAGGAAUGCGAAGGCGAAUUGAGUUAUUGCACACGUGGACUUUACAGAGUAGGCAUUCCACAACGGAACCCUGCAAAUGCCUGCUAGAAUCUUGUUAGCUCGUGCUUGGCUCUGCCCACCUCCUUGCUUGUUCUGCCCACUAUGGCUCAUUUGUUUCCCUUUGAAACGACAGGCUGUGGUCUAUGUAUGUGUAGUUCUAAAAAUCUUUGUCUGCUUCUUCUUCUUCUUUAAAUUAAAAGGUUAAUUAACACCACCACCUAGUGCGAGUCCGGUGUAAGAGUUCGCUACCCUACCAACUAACUCGACACUCAUUAAAACAUCGCCACUAUUCCACUAAUGGCCCCAUCUGAUCCUAGACUAGGCCGGCAGGGUCCGUGUACCUUCUAGACAAUGGCUAUCCUACAUUAACCAGGAUGACGGAUAGUGAUUCACCAUUCGUUAUCAGUUUUCUUUUAUUUCAAGUUGAUCGAAAUUGACAGAAAGCUACCUUUUUUCGUUUUUCGCUUCAGAUAUCGGAAAACAAGCACUGUCAAGGUCAAGGCACUGUCAAGGUCGAUUUUGUUCCUAGUGUAACGUUAGUUAACAAAAGCUAGCGUUACCGUUAGGGCAACUAGCUAACCACACAGUCUCAAAGGGACCUGGGGUGCAGAUGGUGGUGGAGGUGUUUGGCGUGGAGAGGACAGUGAAUUCAGUGGAGGACAUCCCAGCCACUUGACAGUGUUGGCACUGUUACUUCCUACCUGACGGGUGAAGGAUGAUAAACCCGUGUUUGAGAAGAGGUGUCUGGUGUGGGAGAACAUGCGGAUUCCCUCAAAGUUCCUGAAGGAGGAGUUGAAGGCGGAGCAUGCGUAGUACCUGCGGCAACACCCAGGUCUAUCUGUCUUCAGAGAGAUCUAGAGUGCAGACAGCAGAUGGUGGUGGUGGAGAUGUUUGGGGUGGAGAGGACAGUGGAUUCAGUUGGAGGACAUCCCAGCCACUUGGCAGUGUUGGUGUAACAGUAUAACUUUAGACCGUCCCCUCGCCCAUACCCGGGCGCGAACCAGGGACCCUCUGGACACAUCAACAACAGUCACCCACGAAGCAUCGUUACACAUCGCUCCACAAAAGCCGCGGCCCUUGCAGAGCAAGGGGAACCACUACUUCAAGGUCUCAGAGCAAGUGACGUCACCGAUUGAAACGCUAUUUAGCGCGCACCGCUAACUAAGCUAGCCGUUUCACAUCCGUUACAUUGGGACUGCUACUUCCUACCUGACGGGAAAGAGGCACCUGGCCACCCGAGUGCAGGUGGGCUCUGUCAACAUGAGGCUCUUACUGGUCCUACCCCAAGUACACACAGGAGUUGAAGAUGCCUUGUACCAGCGGCAGCACCCAGCGCUCCAAGCCAUGAUGGGUCGACUUCCUGCAGUUCCUGCUACUACGAAAACUGAGCGAGGUCAUCAUGUUCGCCCGCAAGGACUUCUUUGCCUCCUGCCAACUCCCGGGUGGCACCUUGAACACCUCCUCACCUUGAGGACACACAUUGUGGCUGCGUCUGUGUCUCAAUAGUCUAGUAGCUUUCUUUGACUGGCACUUUAGUGAGGACAAUACUAUUCUGGUUGGCACUUGUCACCAGUAUGUACAGAGACCCUCGAGAUCUAGAGUAUUGAUAAAAUACGAAUGCUUUUAUGGAUGUUUUUUAUUUUGUGAUGUUUUUACUGUCUGUUUGUAUGAGGUGCACUGAAACAAAUUCCUAAUCAACUCUGUUAUGGAAAUCGCAAGAGGUCCAGUUAUGUCACAGUUAUUGUGAAUGAAAAUAAAAUGUAUCAUUUCAUGUCUUGUAUGUUUCCCAUGCUUAAUUUCUGUGGAGUAAUUCCAGUAACUGCUAAUUUGCUUUGGCUCUAAUCUGAUCAACCGAUAAUUCUUUAAAGAAUAAUGUUAUAAAUAAAAUUAUUCUCAUGCUUGUCUGACUCCACAAGUAAUGCUAUUGUUUGUAUAAAGUCACUGCCCUGAUUUCCUAGAAAUGUGACACUUUUGAAUAACACAAUUAUGUGUAUGUAUUAUACUCUAGACCAUAUUGCAAGGCAGACUGAGAAAGCAUUGACUUGACAUGACAAACUGUCUCUACUUUACAGUGCAUUUGGACUUUUUCCACAUUGUGUUACGUUACAGCCUUAUUCUAGAAUGGAUUAAAUGUUUUUUUCCCCUCACCAAUAU